This 819-nucleotide ribosomal RNA is filed under the name uncultured bacterium. RNAcentral describes it as "bacterial SSU rRNA". It matches the Rfam family "Bacterial small subunit ribosomal RNA", at positions 8 to 840 of the family's 1533-position model. The record is from RNAcentral.
AGAGUUUGAUCCUGGCUCAGGACGAACGCUGGCGGCGUGCCUAACACAUGCAAGUCGAACGGGGUAAAUUUCUUCGGAGGUUUACUUAGUGGCGAACGGGUGAGUAACGCGUGAGGAACCUGCCUUUCAGUGGGGGACAACAGUUGGAAACGACUGCUAAUACCGCAUAAAGUGUUAAGGGGGCAUCCCCUUAACACCAAAGAUUUAUUGCUGAAAGAUGGUCUCGCGUCUGAUUAGCUAGAUGGCGGGGUAACGGCCCACCAUGGCGACGAUCAGUAGCCGGUCUGAGAGGAUGAACGGCCACAUUGGGACUGAGAUACGGCCCAGACUCCUACGGGAGGCAGCAGUGGGGAAUAUUGGGCAAUGGGGGAAACCCUGACCCAGCAACGCCGCGUGAAGGAAGAAGGCCUUCGGGUUGUAAACUUCUUUUACCAGGGACGAAGGACGUGACGGUACCUGGAGAAAAAGCAACGGCUAACUACGUGCCAGCAGCCGCGGUAAUACGUAGGUUGCAAGCGUUGUCCGGAUUUACUGGGUGUAAAGGGCGUGUAGGCGGAGCUGCAAGUCAGAUGUGAAAUCCCGGGGCUCAACCCCGGAACUGCAUUUGAAACUGUAGCCCUUGAGUAUCGGAGAGGCAAGCGGAAUUCCUAGUGUAGCGGUGAAAUGCGUAGAUAUUAGGAGGAACACCAGUGGCGAAGGCGGCUUGCUGGACGACAACUGACGCUGAGGCGCGAAAGCGUGGGGAGCAAACAGGAUUAGAUACCCUGGUAGUCCACGCUGUAAACGAUGAAUACUAGGUGUGGGGAGGACUGAACCCCU